ACACCCCGCUUAAAGUCCACGGUGGACUAGUUCCACUUCCACCAUCUUCUUCCUCGCUCCCCCUCAGCCCUCACCACCGUGGCACCUUUCCACCUCUGCAUCCAGCCCGCCGUCUCUGGACGGCAACGCGACCGGCGAGGUGAGCCGAAGAGGUGGACCUGCAUCGCGAUUCGUGGACGCGCGUCAUUGCCUGUCUGCCCGUCUCUGAUCGUCUGUGGUUGCUUGCUAGGUAGGGGACUUCUCUAGGGCUCGAUGGCGGCUACGCCGGCGAGGGCUCGGGCCGACUACGACUAUCUCAUCAAGCUCCUCCUCAUCGGCGACAGCGGUCAGCCCCACCAUCCCCUCUCGCUCUCUGGACCUGCGCCAGAUCUGUGCCAAAAUUUGUUCCGGCUGGGCGGGGUUGUCGCUCUGCGUCUGGCCGUUUGGGUAUCUUGGAGGGGCUUCGGGGGUGUAGAUCGCCAUCCGGGUUUGUCGACUGACGCGGUGCUUUCGCGCUGAAAAUCGUGCCGUUUCGUCUGAGUUUCUGUGUAGCAAUUACGUGGCGACGGGUGAAUUGGAUAGUACUACUACGUUUAACCGUUGUAUUCGUAUCCUCCUCGUCUCGACGGCUCGACCUCGAGACCGAGUCAACACGGAGUUUCCCAGUCUCCCUCCCGUCUGUCCCGGUCCCAGGCCCGCCGGAGGCAGACGCCGUCCACGGGAUCCAGCGGCAGUCCCUCGGCUAGUAAGGUAACCACUCUCCCUCUUCCUGCUUCCCUCUCUCUGUCCCUCGGCUCCCUGGUCCAACCGUCCAGGAUAGAGCCGACGACGGCGUCACGGCUUGCGGCGCCGGCGGCCCCGACGCUCCUAGCCGCCUCCCCCGCCGACUAAGCUCUCCCACUGGCUCUGACCUCUUUGUCUCUCCACCUCCUGCAAGCAAUGGACUCGUCAAAGAAGAAACAAGGGCGGCAUCCUCUGCGAAGGUUUCGUCGAACUCGCGGUCGGAUUCUCCAUCGACGGUAACAAAGCCGCCACCACGAGCCCAAGGCACUAGAGCUGGACACCCUGUACCUGCACGGGCUCAAAGACGUAGCAAGUACAUCGACGACCGAGAAGGGCAAGAAGAUGCAAAUACAAUUUAGGAGGGUGUUGACGACGCUGAUGCCGAUUCGGACGAAUGGAUGGAGGUAGAAGAUGAUGAUGAGGCAGAGAACGAUAUGAGCGACGAGAUGCCUGAUCCUUCUUUUGGCCAGGAUAACAAAGAAGACGAUGAUGAUGAUGUUGUUGAGGUCACUAAAACUCAGAUGUAAGGACAAAAGCUACUGCGGGGAAAAGGAAGAAGAAGAAUGGGCUUGCUGUUGCAAAGAAGAACCAAAGCCAAGCGUGCAGAAUGCUGGAAGUGUUUUAAGCUGGUUAAAGCUGUAUUUAAGAGGAAACCAAAUGAAAUUGUUUAGAAGGCAAAAUGCUUAGGCUGCUUUAAAUUGUUUUGUUAUCAAGGAGGGACAACAAGCUUGAAGAGGCAUAGAGAUUCUUGUUAUCAGCUCCAGAACAAGAAGGCGCGAGCACCUCGUCAAGGGACAAUUGGGUUUGAUCCAGAAAAACCAUGUGCCUCUCUCAUUGUUAAUCAUGAGACGAUCAUGCUGAAUGCAAGAUGAUAAUUGUAAAGAUGAUGUGCAUGGAUAUCCUUUUAUGAUGGUAGAACAUGCAUGGUUUAAUAUACUCAUGAAAUAUAUGAAUGCAAAAAUCAAAAUGUGUACAAAAGAUUAUGAUCCCUUGGUGGUAUGACUUGUGAGUUGAUGAGUACUUUCAGUCAGAUAUCUCUA
This is a long non-coding RNA of Brachypodium distachyon (stiff brome), 1802 nucleotides long. RefSeq lists it as uncharacterized. Lineage: Eukaryota; Viridiplantae; Streptophyta; Magnoliopsida; Poales; Poaceae. The transcript has 3 exons. The record is from RefSeq and is a predicted model, not a curated record.